This 253-nucleotide ribosomal RNA is filed under the name uncultured bacterium. Its description in RNAcentral is "partial 16S ribosomal RNA". It matches the Rfam family "Bacterial small subunit ribosomal RNA", at positions 524 to 776 of the family's 1533-position model. The record is from RNAcentral.
GACGAACCACACAAACGUUAUUCGGAAUUACUGGGCUUAAAGGGUGCGUAGGCUGCGCAGUAAGUUGGGUGUGAAAUCCCUCGGCUCAACCGAGGAACUGCGUCCAAAACUACUGUGCUCGAGGGAGACAGAGGUGAGCGGAACUUAGGGUGGAGCGGUGAAAUGCGUUGAUAUCCUAAGGAACACCCGUGGCGAAAGCGGCUCACUGGGUCUCUUCUGACGCUGAGGCACGAAAGCUAGGGUAGCGAACGGG